Molecule: ribosomal RNA, 404 nt
Filed under: uncultured bacterium
Lineage: Bacteria
Description: bacterial SSU rRNA
Rfam family: Bacterial small subunit ribosomal RNA
Source: RNAcentral
UGGGGAAUAUUGGACAAUGGGCGAAAGCCUGAUCCAGCAAUGCCGCGUGUGUGAAGAAGGUCUUCGGAUUGUAAAGCACUUUCGACGGGGACGAUGAUGACGGUACCCGUAGAAGAAGCCCCGGCUAACUUCGUGCCAGCAGCCGCGGUAAUACGAAGGGGGCUAGCGUUGCUCGGAAUGACUGGGCGUAAAGGGCGCGUAGGCGGUUCGGUUAGUUAGGCGUGAAAUUCCUGGGCUCAACCUAGGGACUGCGCUUAAUACAGCCGGGCUUGAGUUCGGAAGAGGGUAGUGGAAUUCCCAGUGUAGAGGUGAAAUUCGUAGAUAUUGGGAAGAACACCGGUGGCGAAGGCGGCUACCUGGUCCGAUACUGACGCUGAGGCGCGAAAGCGUGGGGAGCAAACAGG